Molecule: long non-coding RNA, 250 nt
Organism: Onthophagus taurus
Lineage: Eukaryota; Metazoa; Arthropoda; Insecta; Coleoptera; Scarabaeidae
Source: RefSeq, a predicted model, not a curated record
AUAUUAAUAAAGUUGUAUUUUUAUAUUAUAAUAACCAAAAAUCAAUUGAAUUCAACCCAACGUGUGUUCGGUGUGUACGCUGAACGAAAGUAAAUUGCUCCGAAUAAGUAAAUAAACUGCCCCGUGGAGCUGAAGAAACAAUUGAAUAUAGAAGAGGGUAAACAACAUAAUAAACCUGGAUACUGGAGUAUGAUAUGAACAAAAGUUCGAACUCCAACACCCAACCUGGAAACAGAAGAAGAAGAUAACC